GAAAUGCGAUAAUUAAUGUGAAUUGCAGAAUUCAGUGAAUCAUCGAGUCUUUGAACGCACAUUGCGCCCCCUGGUAUUCCGGGGGGCAUGCCUGUCCGAGCGUCAUUGCUGCCCUCAAGCACGGCUUGUGUGUUGGGCUUCCGUCCCUGGCAACGGGGACGGGCCCAAAAGGCAGUGGCGGCACCAUGUCUGGUCCUCGAGCGUAUGGGGCUUUGUCACCCGCUCCCGUAGGUCCAGCUGGCAGCUAGCCUCGCAACCUAUCUUUUUAACCAGGUUGACCUCGGAUCAGGUAGGGAUACCCGCUGAACUUAAGC
RNAcentral lists this unclassified non-coding RNA (314 nucleotides) under plant metagenome. RNAcentral's name for it is "partial contains 5.8S ribosomal RNA, internal transcribed spacer 2, and large subunit ribosomal RNA". The stretch from base 1 to 105 matches the Rfam family "5.8S ribosomal RNA", at positions 50 to 154 of the family's 154-position model. The record is from RNAcentral.